CAAAUAGUCUGCCUCACCUAUGAAGUCCCUGCCCAUAGCGCUGCCAAAUAGUCUGCCAAAUAGUCUGCCUCACCCAUGAAGUCCCUGCCCAUAGUGCUGCCAAAUAGUCUGCCUCACCCAUGAAGUCCCUGGCCAUAGCGCUGCCAAGUCUCAUCUUAUGUACACAGAAUAUUUGAUACAUGAUUUCAAAUGAUACAUAGAUGACACAUGAGGGAGAGAGUGAUGCGUUGGGGUGAUGUGGAACGGCUGUGGAGAGAUUCGGAACACACCCAAAUGGACCUCAUACUUAUGUCAUACUAUAAGCCAAGACUGUGCCAAGAGUGUGCUAGGAUGGUGCCGGUGUGAUGGAAAUGAACGCUGAGUCCAGUAAGAGCUGUGAUUUGUAAGAGGUGUGUCAGUCAGAGAAAUAGAGAGAGUGCCAGAAAGAGAGUGCCAAUAAUAGAAAGAGAGAGCAAUAGAGAAUGCCAAUAAGAGGUGUGUCAGUAAGAGAACGAGAGAGAGAGUGCCAAUAAGAGAGAGUGCCAAUUAGUGGUGUGUCAGUAAGAGAAAGAGGGAGUGCCAGUAAGAGAGAGAAUGCCAAUAAGAGAGAGAGAGACAGUAAGAGAGUGCCAAUAAGAGGUGCAUCAGUAAGAGAGAGGGAGUGCCAGAAAGAGAGCCAGUAAGAGUGCCAAUAAGAGAGAGAGAGAGACAGUAAGAGAGUGCCAAUAAGAGGUGCAUCAGUAAGAGAGAGGGAGUGCCAGAAAGAGAGCCAGUAAGAGUGCCAAUAAGAGAGAGAGAGAGACAGUAAGAGAGUGCCAAUAAGAGGUGCAUCAGUAAGAGAGAGAGGGAGUGCCAGAAAGAGUGCCAGCAAGAUGUGUGACUGGUAAGAGCUGUGACUUGAGGUGUUGUCAGUGGCACUAGCAUUCAAUUAAACAUCUAAAUAAUAACAGUAAUGAUAAUAAUGAACAGUGGUCACCUAAGCCUUGUGAUUCUUAAGGGACUCCAUGGUAGCCUAGAAUUACCUUAGUUGUCGUAAAUCAUCACUGUAUCCUUUGUUCUUUUUUGUUUCCUCUUUUUUAACGGUAAAUGAAGCAGCUCAAGGGUAUACAAAAACAAAUAGAAUAAGUUAGUAAAUAAAAGCUUGCUGACCCUCCUUCCCCUUCCCUUCCCUUGCCUUGCCUUCUGUUCCCUUGCCUUGCCUUCCCUUGCUUUGCCUUCUGUUCCCUUGCCUUGCCUUGCUUUGCCUUCUGUUCCCUUGCCUUGCCUUGCCUUGCCUUCCCUCCCCUUCCCUUCCCUUCCCUUGCAUUCCUUACCCUUUCCCUUCCCUUACCUCCCCUUUCCUUCCCUUCCCUUCCCUUCCCUUCCCUUCCCAUGCCUUCCCUUCCUUUCCCUUCCCUUCCCCUACCCUAUAAAUAAAUAAGAAAAUAAAAAUAAACAAAACUCUACUAACCACUGCUCCUAUAAGAGACAGUAUAGAUAGAUAGAUAGAUAGAUAGUAAAUAAUAUUGCUUUUUAUAUAUAUAUUUUACUUAACUUUUUACAUAUAUCUUACUUUACUUGACUUUAUAUAUAUUUCUACAUUAUUUUAUACUUUACUCUUAAGCUUAUAAAUAUGCCACAGAGGUAUUUUUAUCUCUCAUACGCAUGACAUGUUUUCCGGGGAGUAAUUUAUUUUAAGCAGGCGAGAUUGAGUACUUGACCUCAUCUGUUUAAAAGACAUAUUAUUUUCUGUAUAUUAUCAUUAGCAGUACUGUGUAUUAUGUUGUGUAUUGUGUGUAUUGCUAGGGGAGUGUGUGGGUCAUAUCAGAGUGACAAGACUGGUACCAUCCUUAUCCUGUCCAGCUUCCUGGUGCAAGAGUUGACCAGCAUCUUCAAUCUCUCACUCUUACAUGACUUCACUUAUCCUGUCCCAUUUCCCAGUGCAAGAUUUGGUUAGUAUUUUCAUUUUAUACAAGAGUUAACCAGUGUCUUCAUUCCCUCACCAAGUGCUAUGUCUCCUCCCAGCUUCCCAGUGCAAGAGUUAAUCAGCAUCUCCAUUCUUUCAUCUCCCUAUCCAUGCCUGUCCCUCCCAUCCUGUCCCAUUUCCCUAUGCAAGAGUUAACCACUGUGUUCAUUCCCUUACCCUUGCAUGACCUUCCCUAUCAAAUGCCUUUCCCUCCCAUCCUGUCCAAUUUCCCAGUGCAAGAGUUGACCAAAAUCUUGAAUCCCUCACCAAAUGUCACACUCCUCCCAUGCCUUUCCCUCCCAUCCUGUCCCAUUUUCCUAUGCAAGAGUUAACCAGUGUUCAUUCUCUCACCAAGUGCUAAGACCCCCCACUGUAAGCAUAUCCUGGAGCCUUGCUAAAAUGUCUUUCUAAUAGGACACUAAACACAUUAAUAAUUAGAUGUAUAUGUAUACCACCUAAGACUACCAUAGAUAUAAGGCAAAUAACAUGAUCAAAUAUAUACACACUUUAAUGAUUGCUCUAAGUAUGUGUGUGUGUGUGUGUGUGUGUGUGUGUGUGUGUAAUUCUGCUGCUCAAGUGUCAUAAUAAAAUUCUUAUAUGAGA
Molecule: long non-coding RNA, 2527 nt
Organism: Eriocheir sinensis (Chinese mitten crab)
Lineage: Eukaryota; Metazoa; Arthropoda; Malacostraca; Decapoda; Varunidae
Exons: 2
Source: RefSeq, a predicted model, not a curated record